AUUGAACGCUGGCGGAAUGCUUUACACAUGCAAGUCGAGCGGCAGCACGGGGGCAACCCUGGUGGCGAGCGGCGAACGGGUGAGUAACACAUCGGAACAUGCCCAGUCGUGGGGGAUAACACUUCGAAAGAAGUGCUAAUACCGCAUACGUCCUGAGGGAGAAAGCGGGGGAUCGCAAGACCUCGCGCGAUUGGAGUGGCCGAUGUCAGAUUAGCUAGUUGGUGGGGUAAAGGCCUACCAAGGCAACGAUCUGUAGCUGGUCUGAGAGGAUGAUCAGCCACACUGGGACUGAGACACGGCCCAGACUCCUACGGGAGGCAGCAGUGGGGAAUUUUGGACAAUGGGGGCAACCCUGAUCCAGCCAUUCCGCGUGAGUGAAGAAGGCCUUCGGGUUGUAAAGCUCUUUCGGCAGGAACGAAACGGUGAGCUCUAACAUAGCUUGCUAAUGACGGUACCUGAAGAAGAAGCACCGGCUAACUACGG
This 483-nucleotide ribosomal RNA is filed under the name uncultured bacterium. RNAcentral's name for it is "partial 16S ribosomal RNA". It matches the Rfam family "Bacterial small subunit ribosomal RNA", at positions 30 to 506 of the family's 1533-position model. The record is from RNAcentral.